Clupea harengus (Atlantic herring) is the source of this 1183-nucleotide long non-coding RNA. NCBI's taxonomy places the organism in Eukaryota, Metazoa, Chordata, Actinopteri, Clupeiformes, Clupeidae. The record is from Ensembl.
AACCAAGAGCAUACAAAAAAAGAACAGAUGCAUAAACCUGUACAACACCUGAAAUGAGGUUUUGUAAAGAUGAAGUUCCAUAAAGUGAAGUCCUUGUUUUUAUAUUCUUCACUACACGGCAACAUCACUAGACUAAGUAAUUAAUUUUUUUUUAUUAUGACAGGAUAGUUUUGUUUUGAAGUGUUCUUUUAUUCUGAUAUAACUAGCGAUGUUUGUCAGGUUUUGUGUCUGAGUCUACGAGAGUAACAUGUGGAAGACUGGUCAUGGGCUGGGUUAAGUUACGAGAAGUAAACAAAAUGAAAUAAUGUCAUAAACAGCACUGGGAGGAGUCACUGGAUAUGAACGCUUACAUUAUUUAUUAUCAGGAUGUUUACUGCUGAUCUAAUGAAGCGGAACAUGAGAGAUAGGAUAUGACAGUGAUAUGUUGAAAACAUUUACAUAUGUGAAUCAAGCCACAUCAGGAAAGUAAUGUAACAGUAUUUACACUUGUGAAUCGCGUGAUAUUUAUGUGAAUCAGGAAAUACAUUUGUGAAUCGAGUGACAUUUAUUUUUGAAUCAUGUGAAAUGCUUUUGUGAAUCACUUUAUACAUUUGUGAUUCGCAGGACAAUUAUGUGUCAGUUUUGAAAAUAUUCUAACUCCAUUUUGACAUCCUGGAUUUUUUUCGUCUGAACUAUUUGAUGGUGUACAAACACAUGCAGUUACAGUGAUUUAACUGCAGAGGGAGCCAUAUACCACUCCGUGAGUUCUCUGAGAGUCUCCACACCAAGGAGGUUCCUUCUAAUGGGGACAGCUGGUAAGGAGGAGAUUUUACAGUAAAAGAUAGUAACCCCACAAGUGCAUGACAUUGGUGUAUGGCUAAGGACAAACCAAGAAGCUAAAAAGAGAUUAGAAAAGAAUAAGAUGGAAGUUAAUCAACCAUGUCCAGCAUUGUACAAUUCAUUUAGGAGUGUAAGACUGGUGUUUAACUAUAGAUAGAUCUCUGGUCAGGAGCAUCAAAUUGUUACAGAAACGAAAUUACACUUCUACUUGUAUUAUUUACACUCAGUCAAAUCACCAGAAAUGACAUGACAGGCAGCUUUCUACUUCUAAAUGAUAAAACUAUGUGGAGUAUCUCGAUGAGAUCGAACUCUCUGAAGACAAUCUAAAGACGUCCCCCCUCGCCACACUUCAUCUGGGCCCUGG